Molecule: RNA transcript, 4579 nt
Organism: Mastomys coucha (southern multimammate mouse)
Lineage: Eukaryota; Metazoa; Chordata; Mammalia; Rodentia; Muridae
Gene: Sardh
Gene name: sarcosine dehydrogenase
Exons: 24
Source: RefSeq, a predicted model, not a curated record
GGAGCGGUGUCCUGACAGCCCUUUCAUAGGCAGGGCUGGAGCUGCUUGCUAGCUGGGACCUCCCUCUUCUGGUUAAAGGACCGUGGAGUAGAUGGGAAGGCCACGGAUAACUGUGGGGGUACAGGAGGGGGGUCUCUUAUGGGAGGACUCUGCAGAGUGCCUUCGCCUUUUGGGCUCCCUCUCUACUGCCCUGUUGUUGCCUUCAAAAAAGGCCCUGUGUCUGAGGCCUCAGGCCUGUGACUGAGCUCUCAUUCCCUGUGUCCUGGCCCUUGGGAUGCUGAGGGAGAGAGCUGCAGAGGCCAGAGGGCAGGUUAAUGAAGCAUCUGUUCUGAAGGAGGAGGAGCAGGCUGGAGGCCUGGCCGCCCCAUCCCCCACCCCUGCCGUGACUAGCUGGGCUGGCAAGGAAGGAGCACGUGGCAGCUCCUCGGGCCAGCAGCAUUGGCACUGGGCACAGUUUGGAGCGGAAGGAGGCGCCUCUGGCAGGAACCUCUCAGGAGCUUCUGGAAAACCAAGGACGCUGAAAGACUAAGGAGAGUCCCCAUGGCUUCACUGAGCCGGGUCCUACGUGUAGCUGCCACCUGUCCUCGAGGGAGAUCUGCUCGGAAUCUGGGGCUACAGCCCCUGGCCAAGGAGACCAGGCCCACCACUGAGAAGAGUGUUCCAUACCAGCGGACUCUGAAGGAGGAGGCCCAAGGUGCCUCCGUGCCCCAAGGACCAAGCCAGCCUCUGCCUAGCACAGCCAAUGUUGUGGUCAUCGGUGGGGGCAGUUUGGGCUGCCAGACUCUGUACCACUUGGCCAAGCUGGGUGUAGGUGGAGCAGUGCUGCUGGAGAGAGAGCGACUGACCUCUGGGACUACCUGGCACACAGCAGGCUUACUGUGGCAGCUGCGGCCCAGUGAUGUAGAGGUAGAGCUUCUGGCUCACACACGGCAAGUGGUGAGCCAUGAUCUGGAAAAGGAGACUGGACUGCAUACAGGCUGGAUCCAGAAUGGUGGCCUUUUCAUCGCUUCUAACCGGCAGCGCCUGGAUGAAUACAAGAGGCUUAUGUCGUUGGGCAAGGCCUAUGGUAUAGAAUCCCACGUGCUGAGUCCAGCAGAGACCAGGAAUCUGUACCCUCUGAUGAAUGUGGAUGACCUCUAUGGGACCCUGUAUGUGCCACAGGAUGGUACCAUGGACCCCGCUGGCACCUGCACUACCCUCACCAGAGCAGCAGUGGCUCGAGGAGCUCAGGUCAUUGAAAACUGUGCAGUGACUGGCAUCCGUGUGCGGACAGAUGACUUUGGAGUGCGGCGGGUGGCAGCUGUGGAGACAGAGCAUGGCUCCAUCCAGACACCCUGUGUAGUCAACUGUGCAGGAGUGUGGGCGAGCACUGUGGGCCGGAUGGCUGGAGUGAAGGUCCCACUGGUGGCCAUGCACCAUGCUUACGUCGUCACUGAGCGCAUUGAGGGGAUCCAGAACAUGCCCAAUGUCCGGGAUCAUGAUGCUUCAGUCUACCUCCGACUGCAGGGGGAUGCCUUGUCUGUGGGUGGUUAUGAGGCCAACCCCAUCUUUUGGGAUGAGGUGUCAGACAAAUUUGCCUUUGGCCUCUUUGACCUGGACUGGGAUGUGUUCACCCAGCACAUUGAAGGUGCCAUUAACCGUGUCCCCGUGUUGGAGAAGACGGGGAUCAAGUCCACUGUCUGUGGUCCUGAAUCCUUCACACCCGACCAUAAGCCCCUGAUGGGGGAGGCUCCUGAGCUCCGUGGCUUCUUCCUGGGCUGUGGCUUCAACAGUGCAGGCAUGAUGUUGGGUGGUGGCUGUGGACAGGAGCUGGCCCAUUGGAUUGUACACGGGCGCCCAGAGAAGGACAUGUACAGCUAUGACAUCAGGCGUUUCCAUCAUUCGCUCACGGACCAUGCCCGCUGGAUCCGAGAGCGCAGCCAUGAGUCCUAUGCCAAGAACUACUCGGUUGUCUUCCCACACGAUGAGCCACUGGCAGGCCGAAACAUGAGGAGAGACCCCCUGCAUGAGGAGCUUCUUGGACAAGGCUGUGUGUUUCAAGAGCGACAGGGCUGGGAACGGCCAGGAUGGUUCAACCCCCAAGAAACAGCUCAGGUCCUUGACUAUGACUACUACGGGGCCUACGGAAACCAGGCACACAAGGACUACGCCUACAGCAGGCUGCUAGGUGAUGAGUACACCUUCGACUUCCCACCCCACCACCACAUGAUCCAGAAGGAAUGUCUGACCUGCAGAGGAGCUGCGGCUGUGUUCAAUAUGUCUUACUUUGGGAAGUUCUAUCUGCUGGGGGUGGAUGCCAGGAAGGCUGCAGACUGGCUUUUCUCAGCAGAUGUCAAUCGACCCCCAGGCUCAACAGUGUACACAUGCAUGCUGAACCAACGGGGAGGCACCGAGAGCGAUCUGACCGUUAGCCGCUUGGCUCCUGGCACCCAGGCCAGUCCCCUGGUCCCUGCCUUUGAAGGGGAUUGCUACUACCUGGCCGUGGGUGGGGCUGUGGCCCAACACAACUGGUCUCACAUAAACACGGUGCUACAGGACCAGGAGUUCCGGUGCCAGCUUAUGGAUAGUUCCGAAGAUCUGGGCAUGCUCAGUAUCCAGGGCCCAGCCAGCCGUGCCAUUCUCCAGGACGUGCUUGAUGCUGACCUGAGCAAUGAGGCCUUCCCCUUCUCCACCCACCAGCUGGUGAGAGCUGCUGGGCACUUGGUCCGGGCUAUCAGGCUGUCCUUUGUCGGGGAGCUGGGGUGGGAGCUGCAUGUGCCCCGAGCAUCCUGCUUACCAGUGUACCGGGCUGUGAUGGCUGCAGGCGCGAGGCAUGGCCUAGUCAAUGCGGGCUACCGUGCCAUCGACUCCCUGAGCAUCGAGAAAGGCUAUCGACACUGGCAUGCAGACCUGAGGCCCGAUGACAGCCCCCUGGAAGCAGGAUUGACCUUCACCUGCAAGCUCAAGACCUCGGUGCCCUUCCUAGGCCGAGAGGCCCUGGAGAAGCAGCGUGCCACAGGCCUCCGCCGACGCUUGGUAUGCCUCACCGUGGAAGAGGAGGUGCCUAUGUUUGGCCUGGAAGCCAUCUGGAGAAAUGGCCAAGUGGUGGGCCAUGUCCGGAGAGCUGAUUUUGGAUUUACUGUGAACAAGACCAUCGCCUAUGGCUACAUCCGAGACCCCAGUGGUGGCCCAGUCUCUCUGGACUUUGUGAAGAGUGGAGAGUAUGCCUUGGAGAGAAUGGGGGUCACCUAUGCUGCCCAGGUUCACCUGAAGUCUCCCUUUGAUCCUGACAACAAGCGGGUGAAGGGAAUCUAUUGAUGAGCUACAAGGUGGAGGCUACAGCUGCUCAGGCCACUGGAAACCGCCACACUUCCCACACUGCCUGUGGACUCCAGCACUGCACACACAGCCCUGUGUCCUGAGACCCUGGAUAAGGGCAAAGCACAGACUUCCCCACGCUUAGCCUCCAUCUGGUCCUGCUAACCACCACAGCUUCUAACCAGGACUGGAUGGAGCACUAUGUUCUUCCUGCUCACGGACCACACAGUGGUCUCCGAUCCACUCUAGUCCUCCCAAAAUGCACCCUGCAGAUGUCUUGGCUCAAGGUCCCUGGAAGCCGCCCACUGGGAAACAGGAGACACUCUGCAAAGGAAUAUUUAAGCAGUGUUUUCAUGGCAUACACCAACACAAGUCACCCCCGGAGGACCAACAGGGUCGGGACUGUGGGGUUUGGGGAGUCUGCACCCAGCCGGCAAGGCUCUUCUGGAGGCAAGGCUGCACCCAAGCAUGUGAGAGACUGAAGAGGAUCAGGAGAUGUGUUCUCAACACUGGUACCUCGUAUCUUCUGUGGAUUGUGGUAAUGAACUUCCAGUCGGAGAAACCGGGAAGACUUCUGGCCUCCAAAGGCGACACCAGCUUCUUUUGGGUAGUAAAAUGCCUGUGCAGGACAGGAGUAUUAGACAGGGGUCCUUCAGGGCUCUGGGACAAACCUGGCCAGCAGCAGGGGCCUGAGCAGAGAAGCUCAACAAGUGACCAGGUUAGAAGGAUUCUCUCCUGGGGUUAAGUAGACCUUACUGUCACACACAGAAGGUCCUAUCAGGAGGGCACUGAACCUCAGCUGAGCCUCCCUCCCAGACCUUCCAGUUCUGCCUUCAACAUCCUCUGGCCUGAGGACCUAGAAGGGUAAGACUCAUGGGCGUGGUCUGUUGACAUCGUGCCCGGCCAUAGGUAUCCCUGGCAUCAUGCUGUGCACAGAACCCAGAUCCUUGCAAGUGCUGAUCCAGUGAUGAGCGGUGCACACUUGUGAUCAUGUGCGUUUUCAUAGAAAGCUACAAGGAGCUUUUGUGGCUCCCAAAGCACAGAGCAAGAGCAUCCUAGAGUGACUGGGGCUGCUUGGAACCUGCACUGGCGCGCCUCCCCCCACCCCCAUUGACAUUUUAGGAUGUAGUUUUGUGGAGCCAGGUGCAGGGAGUUAGAAUCCUGAGGACUCCACAGGAGGCCUGGGGAUGGAGCAAUAGUGUCCUAAUUAACUUUAAACUAUUGAGUUGACAAAGCCUAGGCUCAGCAGAGACAUGUACGCUAAGUAAAUCCUUUCUUCCCC